CGCCAGACUCCUACGGGAGGCAGCAGUGGGGAAUAUUGCACAAUGGGGGAAACCCUGAUGCAGCGACGCCGCGUGAGUGAAGAAGUAUUUCGGUAUGUAAAGCUCUAUCAGCAGGGAAGAAAAUGACGGUACCUGACCAAGAAGCCCCGGCUAACUACGUGCCAGCAGCCGCGGUAAUACGUAGGGGGCAAGCGUUAUCCGGAUUUACUGGGUGUAAAGGGAGCGUAGACGGUUGCGCAAGUCUGGAGUGAAAGGCGGGGGCCCAACCCCCGGACUGCUCUGGAAACUGUGUAACUGGAGUGCAGGAGAGGUAAGUGGAAUUCCUAGUGUAGCGGUGAAAUGCGUAGAUAUUAGGAGGAACACCAGUGGCGAAGGCGGCUUACUGGACUGUAACUGACGUUGAGGCUCGAAAGCGUGGGGAGCAAACAGGAUUAGAUACCCGUGUACG
RNAcentral lists this ribosomal RNA (448 nucleotides) under uncultured bacterium. RNAcentral describes it as "bacterial SSU rRNA". It matches the Rfam family "Bacterial small subunit ribosomal RNA", at positions 329 to 793 of the family's 1533-position model. The record is from RNAcentral.